AGCGGGGUAGACCAGUAGUAGGUCGCAAGGCUCAUAACCUUGAGGCGCCGGUGCAAUUCCGGCCUCCGCAA
This 71-nucleotide transfer RNA is filed under the name Patescibacteria group bacterium. RNAcentral's name for it is "tRNA-Met". It matches the Rfam family "tRNA". Rfam says of the family: Transfer RNA (tRNA) molecules are approximately 80 nucleotides in length. The record is from RNAcentral.